This is a non-coding RNA of Gorilla gorilla gorilla (western lowland gorilla), 148 nucleotides long. It matches the Rfam family "Metazoan signal recognition particle RNA". From Rfam's summary of the family: The signal recognition particle (SRP) is a universally conserved ribonucleoprotein. It is involved in the co-translational targeting of proteins to membranes. The eukaryotic SRP consists of a 300-nucleotide 7S RNA and six proteins: SRPs 72, 68, 54, 19, 14, and 9. Lineage: Eukaryota; Metazoa; Chordata; Mammalia; Primates; Hominidae. The record is from Rfam.
GCCAGGCAUGGUGGCGCAUGCCUGUAAUCCCAGCUACUCAGGAGGCUGAGGCAGGAGAAUCACUUGAACCCGGGAGGCGGAGGUUGCAAUUAGCCAAAAUUGAGCCACUUCACUCCAGCCUGGGUGAUAGAGUGAGACUCUGCCUUAC